RNAcentral lists this ribosomal RNA (210 nucleotides) under Triticum aestivum (bread wheat). RNAcentral describes it as "partial small subunit ribosomal RNA". Lineage: Eukaryota; Viridiplantae; Streptophyta; Magnoliopsida; Poales; Poaceae. The record is from RNAcentral.
AUGACCGUGACGACGACAACGCGCGUUUUUCGUCAUCCACGUCCAUCGUCGACGAGACGCAGCUCACCUCAGGAACACCAUCCUUGUCGAACUCAGUCAAGGAAGACACCAGAGAAGCCCAGCCAGGUGAUGACACCACCCAUGAUGCGGCCAUUGUCCUAUUCUCCAUGGACCCUUACACCGACUUCAGGAGGUCCAUGCAGAACAUGA